Molecule: ribosomal RNA, 514 nt
Filed under: uncultured bacterium
Lineage: Bacteria
Description: partial 16S ribosomal RNA
Rfam family: Bacterial small subunit ribosomal RNA
Source: RNAcentral
GAUGAACGCUGGCGGCGUGCCUAAUACAUGCAAGUCGAGCGAACAGAUGAGAAGCUCGCUUCUCCGAUGUUAGCGGCGGACGGGUGAGUAACACGUGGGUAACCUACCUAUAAGACUGGGAUAACUCCGGGAAACCGGGGAUAAUACUGGCUAAUAUGUUGAACCGCAUGGCUCAAUAGUGAAGGACGGCUUCGGCUGACACCUAUAGAUGGACCCGCGCCGUAUUAGCUAGUUGGUAAGGUAACGGCUUACCAAGGCGACGAUACGUAGCCGACCUGAGAGGGUGAUCGGCCACACUGGAACUGAGACACGGUCCAGACUCCUACGGGAGGCAGCAGUAGGGAAUCUUCCGCAAUGGGCGAAAGCCUGACGGAGCAACGCCGCGUGAGUGAUGAAGGUCUUCGGAUCGUAAAACUCUGUUGUUAGAGAAGAACAAAUUUGUUAGUAACUGAACAAGUCUUGACGGUACCUAACCAGAAAGCCACGGCUAACUACGUGCCAGCCGCCGCGGUAA